GAGGUUUUGUAGUCCUCGGACUCACGGAUCGAACGACUGGCGGCGUGCUAACACAUGCAAGUCAACGGAACUCAUACUGAACUAGUGAUUAUGAGUAGUGGCGGACGGGUGAGUAACGCGUGAUAACCUGCCGUAUACCGGGGGAUAACACUUAGAAAUAGGUGCUAAUACCGCAUGAGCGCACAGCUCCGCAUGGGGCGGUGUGAAAAACUCCGGUGGUAUACGAUGGAUCCGCGUCUGAUUAGCCAGUUGGCGGGGUAACGGCCCACCAAAGCGACGAUCAGUAGCCGGCCUGAGAGGGUGAACGGCCACAUUGGGACUGAGACACGGCCCAGACUCCUACGGGAGGCAGCAGUGGGGGAUAUUGCACAAUGGGGGAAACCCUGAUGCAGCGACGCCGCGUGAGUGAAGAAGUAUCUCGGUAUGUAAAGCUCUAUCAGCAGGAAAGAUAAUGACGGUACCUGACUAAGAAGCCCCGGCUAACUACGUG
RNAcentral lists this ribosomal RNA (490 nucleotides) under uncultured Lachnospiraceae bacterium. Its description in RNAcentral is "bacterial SSU rRNA". It matches the Rfam family "Bacterial small subunit ribosomal RNA", at positions 1 to 507 of the family's 1533-position model. Lineage: Bacteria; Bacillati; Bacillota; Clostridia; Lachnospirales; Lachnospiraceae. The record is from RNAcentral.